RNAcentral lists this ribosomal RNA (601 nucleotides) under uncultured marine eukaryote. RNAcentral's name for it is "SSU rRNA". It matches the Rfam family "Eukaryotic small subunit ribosomal RNA", at positions 1 to 598 of the family's 1831-position model. The record is from RNAcentral.
AACCUGGUUGAUCCUGCCAGUAGUCAUAUGCUUGUCUCAAAGAUUAAGCCAUGCAUGUCUAAGUAUAAGCACUUGUACUGUGAAACUGCGAAUGGCUCAUUAAAUCAGUUAUCGUUUAUUUGAUUGUACUUUACUACAUGGAUACCUGUGGUAAUUCUAGAGCUAAUACAUGCGAAAAAUCCCGACUUCUGGAAGGGAUGUAUUUAUUAGAUUAAAAACCAAUGCGAGUCUUCGGGCUCGUUUUCUUGGUGAUUCAUGAUAACUUUUCGAAUCGCAUGGCCUAGCGCCGGCGAUAUUUCAUUCAAAUUUCUGCCCUAUCAACUGUCGAUGGUAAGGUAGUGGCUUACCAUGGUUAUAACGGGUGACGGAGAAUUAGGGUUCGAUUCCGGAGAGGGAGCCUGAGAAACGGCUACCACAUCUAAGGAAGGCAGCAGGCUCGAAAAUUACCCAAUCCCAAUUCGGGGAGGUAGUGACAAGAAAUAACGAUACGGGGUCUUAAUAGGUCUCGCAAUUGGAAUGAGUACAAUUUAAAUCCUUUAACGAGGAUCAAUUGGAGGGCAAGUCUGGUGCCAGCAGCCGCGGUAAUUCCAGCUCCAAUAGC